Molecule: ribosomal RNA, 2754 nt
Filed under: Vibrio parahaemolyticus
Lineage: Bacteria; Pseudomonadati; Pseudomonadota; Gammaproteobacteria; Vibrionales; Vibrionaceae
Description: bacterial LSU rRNA
Rfam family: Bacterial large subunit ribosomal RNA
Source: RNAcentral
UGAAUACAUAGGGUAAGGAGGCGAACCGGGGGAACUGAAACAUCUAAGUACCCCGAGGAAAAGAAAUCAACCGAGAUUCCGAAAGUAGCGGCGAGCGAAAUUGGACUAGCCCUUAAGCUUUACACGCGUUAGACGAACGGUCUGGAAAGUCCGACGAUACAGGGUGAUAGUCCCGUAGUUGACGACGUGUGUUCAGUGAAAUCGAGUAGGGCGGGACACGUGAUAUCCUGUCUGAAUAUGGGGGGACCAUCCUCCAAGGCUAAAUACUACUGACUGACCGAUAGUGAACCAGUACCGUGAGGGAAAGGCGAAAAGAACCCCUGUGAGGGGAGUGAAAUAGAACCUGAAACCGUGUACGUACAAGCAGUAGGAGCAGGCUUUGUCCUGUGACUGCGUACCUUUUGUAUAAUGGGUCAGCGACUUAUAUUCAGUGGCAAGGUUAACCAUCUAGGGGAGCCGUAGGGAAACCGAGUCUUAACUGGGCGUUCAGUCUCUGGAUAUAGACCCGAAACCAGGUGAUCUAGCCAUGGGCAGGUUGAAGGUUGAGUAACAUCAACUGGAGGACCGAACCGACUAAUGUUGAAAAAUUAGCGGAUGACUUGUGGCUAGGGGUGAAAGGCCAAUCAAACCUGGAGAUAGCUGGUUCUCCCCGAAAGCUAUUUAGGUAGCGCCUCGGACGAAUACUACUGGGGGUAGAGCACUGUUAAGGCUAGGGGGUCAUCCCGACUUACCAACCCUUUGCAAACUCCGAAUACCAGUAAGUACUAUCCGGGAGACACACGGCGGGUGCUAACGUCCGUCGUGGAGAGGGAAACAACCCAGACCGCCAGCUAAGGUCCCAAAUUACUACUAAGUGGGAAACGAUGUGGGAAGGCUCAGACAGCCAGGAUGUUGGCUUAGAAGCAGCCAUCAUUUAAAGAAAGCGUAAUAGCUCACUGGUCGAGUCGGCCUGCGCGGAAGAUGUAACGGGGCUAAGUAGUAAACCGAAGCUGCGGCAAUGUGCUUUUGCACAUUGGGUAGGGGAGCGUUCUGUAAGCGGUUGAAGGUGUGUGGUAACGCAUGCUGGACGUAUCAGAAGUGCGAAUGCUGACAUGAGUAACGAUAAAGGGGGUGAAAAACCUCCUCGCCGGAAGACCAAGGGUUCCUGUCCAACGUUAAUCGGGGCAGGGUAAGUCGACCCCUAAGGCGAGGCCGAAAGGCGUAGUCGAUGGGAAACGGGUUAAUAUUCCCGUACUUCUUACAAUUGCGAUGGGGGGACGGAGAAGGCUAGGUGGGCCUGGCGACGGUUGUCCAGGUUCAAGUGCGUAGGCUUAAGAGUUAGGUAAAUCCGGCUCUUUUUAAGGCUGAGACACGACGUCGAGCAUCUACGGAUGUGAAGUCAUUGAUGCCAUGCUUCCAGGAAAAGCCUCUAAGCUUCAGAUUGUAAGGAAUCGUACCCCAAACCGACACAGGUGGUCGGGUAGAGAAUACCAAGGCGCUUGAGAGAACUCGGGUGAAGGAACUAGGCAAAAUGGUACCGUAACUUCGGGAGAAGGUACGCUCUCGACGGUGAAGUCCCUCGCGGAUGGAGCUAUUGAGAGUCGCAGAUACCAGGUGGCUGCAACUGUUUAUUAAAAACACAGCACUGUGCAAAAUCGUAAGAUGACGUAUACGGUGUGACGCCUGCCCGGUGCCGGAAGGUUAAUUGAUGGGGUUAGACUUCGGUCGAAGCUCUUGAUCGAAGCCCCGGUAAACGGCGGCCGUAACUAUAACGGUCCUAAGGUAGCGAAAUUCCUUGUCGGGUAAGUUCCGACCUGCACGAAUGGCGUAAUGAUGGCCACGCUGUCUCCACCCGAGACUCAGUGAAAUUGAAAUCGCUGUGAAGAUGCAGUGUACCCGCGGCUAGACGGAAAGACCCCGUGAACCUUUACUACAGCUUGGCACUGAACAUUGACCCUACAUGUGUAGGAUAGGUGGGAGGCUUUGAAGCACGUACGCCAGUAUGUGUGGAGCCGUCCUUGAAAUACCACCCUUGUAGUGUUGAUGUUCUAACGUCGACCCCUUAUCGGGGUUGCGGACAGUGCCUGGUGGGUAGUUUGACUGGGGCGGUCUCCUCCCAAAGAGUAACGGAGGAGCACGAAGGUGGGCUAAUCACGGUUGGACAUCGUGAGGUUAGUGCAAUGGCAUAAGCCCGCUUGACUGCGAGAAUGACAAUUCGAGCAGGUGCGAAAGCAGGUCAUAGUGAUCCGGUGGUUCUGAAUGGAAGGGCCAUCGCUCAACGGAUAAAAGGUACUCCGGGGAUAACAGGCUGAUACCGCCCAAGAGUUCAUAUCGACGGCGGUGUUUGGCACCUCGAUGUCGGCUCAUCACAUCCUGGGGCUGAAGUCGGUCCCAAGGGUAUGGCUGUUCGCCAUUUAAAGUGGUACGCGAGCUGGGUUUAGAACGUCGUGAGACAGUUCGGUCCCUAUCUGCCGUGGGCGUUGGAAGAUUGAAGGGGGCUGCUCCUAGUACGAGAGGACCGGAGUGGACGAACCUCUGGUGUUCGGGUUGUGUCGCCAGACGCAUUGCCCGGUAGCUAAGUUCGGAAUCGAUAACCGCUGAAAGCAUCUAAGCGGGAAGCGAGCCCUGAGAUGAGUCUUCCCUGAUACUUUAAGUAUCCUAAAGGGUUGUCGGAGACUACGACGUUGAUAGGUCAGGUGUGUAAGUGCUGUGAGGCAUUGAGCUAACUGAUACUAAUUGCCCGUGAGGCUUAACCAUACAACACCUAAGGGGUUU